CAUCCUCCAAGGCUAAAUACUCCUGACUGACCGAUAGUGAACCAGUACCGUGAGGGAAAGGCGAAAAGAACCCCGGCGAGGGGAGUGAAAAAGAACCUGAAACCGUGUACGUACAAGCAGUGGGAGCACAGGUUUACCUGUGUGACUGCGUACCUUUUGUAUAAUGGGUCAGCGACUUAUAUUCUGUAGCAAGGUUAACCGAAUAGGGGAGCCGGAGGGAAACCGAGUCUUAA
RNAcentral lists this ribosomal RNA (233 nucleotides) under Salmonella enterica subsp. enterica serovar Infantis. Its description in RNAcentral is "partial 23S ribosomal RNA". It matches the Rfam family "Bacterial large subunit ribosomal RNA", at positions 454 to 687 of the family's 2925-position model. The record is from RNAcentral. RNAcentral also lists the same sequence under 2 other names. Lineage: Bacteria; Pseudomonadati; Pseudomonadota; Gammaproteobacteria; Enterobacterales; Enterobacteriaceae.